RNAcentral lists this ribosomal RNA (228 nucleotides) under uncultured bacterium. RNAcentral describes it as "partial 16S ribosomal RNA". It matches the Rfam family "Bacterial small subunit ribosomal RNA", at positions 568 to 795 of the family's 1533-position model. The record is from RNAcentral.
CAUGUAGGCGGCAUGACAAGUCUGGUGUGAAAUAUCUCGGCUCAACCGAGAAAACGCACUGGAAACUGUCAAGCUUGAGUAUCGGAGGGGAAGCUAGAAUUCCUGGUGUAGGGGUGAAAUCUGUAGAUAUCAGGAAGAAUACCGGUGGCGAAGGCGAGCUUCUGGCCAGAUACUGACGCUGAGGUGCGAAAGCGUGGGGAGCGAACAGGAUUAGAUACCCUGGUAGUC